GAUGAACGCUAGCUACAGGCUUAACACAUGCAAGUCGAGGGGCAGCAUGAACUUAGCUUGCUAAGUUUGAUGGCGACCGGCGCACGGGUGAGUAACACGUAUCCAACCUGCCGAUGACUCGGGGAUAGCCUUUCGAAAGAAAGAUUAAUACCCGAUGGCAUAGUUCUUCCGCAUGGUAGAACUAUUAAAGAAUUUCGGUCAUCGAUGGGGAUGCGUUCCAUUAGGUUGUUGGCGGGGUAACGGCCCACCAAGCCUUCGAUGGAUAGGGGUUCUGAGAGGAAGGUCCCCCACAUGGGAACUGAGAACAGGGCCAAACUCCUACGGGAGGCAGCAGUGAGGAAUACUGGACAAUGGACGAGAGUCUGAAGCAGCCAAGUAGCGUGAAGGAUGACCGCCCUAUGGGUUGUAAACUUCUUUUAUACGGGAAUAAAGUGAGGCACGUGUGCCUUUUUGUAUGUACCGUAUGAAUAAGGAUCGGCUAACUCCGUG
Molecule: ribosomal RNA, 489 nt
Filed under: uncultured bacterium
Lineage: Bacteria
Description: partial 16S ribosomal RNA
Rfam family: Bacterial small subunit ribosomal RNA
Source: RNAcentral